RNAcentral lists this non-coding RNA (190 nucleotides) under Gammaproteobacteria bacterium. RNAcentral's name for it is "6S RNA". It matches the Rfam family "6S / SsrS RNA". Rfam says of the family: E. coli 6S RNA was the first non coding RNA to be sequenced, but its function was unknown until recently. The record is from RNAcentral. Lineage: Bacteria; Pseudomonadati; Pseudomonadota; Gammaproteobacteria.
CAUUCUCUGCGGUGUUCGAGUAGUGGGCUGGGUAACCCCUUGAUCCUAAUUGAUUAUACCCGGGGAUGUGGUUGUUGGUGCAGGUGUGCAUGUCCGCCAAGUUGUGGAAAGCCUGAUGCAUCGCGCUGCUCCCCACUUGAACUUCUACGGUUCAAGGGCAAAAGCCCGAGACGGCACAGGCGGAGAAUGC